AUUGAACGCUGGCGGCAUGCCUUACACAUGCAAGUCGAACGGCAGCACGGGAGCAAUCCUGGUGGCGAGUGGCGAACGGGUGAGUAAUGUAUCGGAACGUGCCUUGUCGUGGGGGAUAACGUAGCGAAAGCUACGCUAAUACCGCAUACCAUCUAAGGAUGAAAGCGGGGGAUCGCAAGACCUCGCGCGACAAGAGUGGCCGAUAUCAGAUUAGGUUGUUGGUGGGGUAAAGGCCUACCAAGCCGACGAUCUGUAGCUGGUCUGAGAGGACGACCAGCCACACUGGGACUGAGACACGGCCCAGACUCCUACGGGAGGCAGCAGUGGGGAAUUUUGGACAAUGGGCGAAAGCCUGAUCCAGCAAUGCCGCGUGCGGGAUGAAGGCCUUCGGGUUGUAAACUGCUUUUGUACAGAACGAAACAGUCUCUCCUAAUACGGGGGCGAAUGACGGUACUGUAAGAAUAAGCACCGGCUAACUACGUGCCAGCAGCCGCGGUAAUC
Molecule: ribosomal RNA, 501 nt
Filed under: uncultured bacterium
Lineage: Bacteria
Description: bacterial SSU rRNA
Rfam family: Bacterial small subunit ribosomal RNA
Source: RNAcentral